Molecule: ribosomal RNA, 476 nt
Filed under: uncultured bacterium
Lineage: Bacteria
Description: bacterial SSU rRNA
Rfam family: Bacterial small subunit ribosomal RNA
Source: RNAcentral
AGAGUUUGAUCCUGGCUCAGAUUGAACGCUGGCGGUAUGCUUAACACAUGCAAGUCGAACGGAAACGAAACUAGCUUGCUAGUAGACGUCGAGUGGCGGACGGGUGAGUAACGCGUAGGAAUCUGCCUGAUAGUGGGGGAUAGCCCGAAGAAAUUCGGAUUAAUACCGCAUAAUCUAUUCGUAGUAAAGUGAGGGACUUUCGAGCCUCACGCUAUCAGAUGAGCCUGCGUAAGAUUAGCUUGUUGGUAGGGUAAAAGCCUACCAAGGCAACGAUCUUUAGCUGGUCUGAGAGGAUGAUCAGCCACAUCGGGACUGAGACACGGCCCGAACUCCUACGGGAGGCAGCAGUGGGGAAUAUUGGACAAUGGGGGCAACCCUGAUCCAGCAAUACCGCGUGUGUGAAGAAGGCCUGAGGGUUGUAAAGCACUUUCAAUUGUGAAGAAAAGUUAACGGUUAAUAACCGUUAACCUUGACGU